CUAUUAAGGUAGAAUUAAGACACAGGUAUCUAAAAAUCUCUAAAAGGUAAAACACAAAUUUCUCUUGGAAGAGUUCCCACAAUAGUACAUUAAAGAUUAAAGGCAUAAUGUAUCGUAUUUGGUGGCAUCUAGCAGCAUGGUUAUGUAUUUCAACCAACCAUAUACCCCUCCUAUAGAUACUCCUUUGCCACACAAACUGCAAUCACUUGUGUUUAUUGGUUAUUAGUUAAUUCUAACAAGAACGCUAAACCAAGACUUUAAUUGUCUUUGCGAGAAAGUUAGCGUGCAGCCGGCAUCUCUAGUAAAGGCCAAGUCUCAUCCUUUUAUUUAUCUAUUUGUUUUUCUCGCUGUUAAAUAGGUGUGCCUUAAUGAGCUGAUUACAUUUGAAUAGUUUGCUUUGUGUAGUCUUAUGCCACUUAUAGAGAGAGCACAUCUAUGUUCCCAGCCCCCCCGUGUUGACCAACUCAGUAGUCCCUUCAUAUGAUGAUAUGAUGACGGGUUUUUUUUAACGUUUUUUUUGUGUAUGCUCCCCUUUGUCAACAUAACAACACAUGUACCUGUAGCUUUUCACCUACUGAUGUUCUACUGCCUUAAACCUGUUGUUGUUAACAAUCUAUUUUAUAUUACUGUUACAAAAGUAGUACAAAAACGAAAAUGUCACGCCGAGCACUGAUCUGGUAAUUACUACAUCUGUGUUGGAUUUGGUUAAAAAGUCCACUCCCAACCCUGUUUCUGUUGAGUCUGCAUGACCUCAUUACUGCUGAAUUGGAAACUUGGUAAUCUGCUUCUCCUCUUUAUCUCUCUGCAGUCCCCAACCCAAUGCAGGGGCGUCAUCUCAGACAGUGCGCGUGCUGCCCACCAGCAAACCAGCCCCGUCACAAUAAUUACACUCAUCAUACACGUGACUACCCAGCGGAUUCGUGGGAUGAGCCUCGGCGCUAUCUGCAGUGAGGACGAUUCCUGUCCUUGCCUGAUGUUUUUUCACAGAUGUCAUGCAUAAAUUGGAGCAUAAAUUUCUAAUGUUUACAUCCCACAGGAACCCCGUCCCUCCAAAUGUCCCGUAUGGAUCUGUGCCUAAUCAGCGCGUGGGCCCUCCUAGAGAAUUGAUGCAUGAGGUCAGCGUAUACGGCUCCAUACAGGCCUGUCCAGGGCCGGCAACGGGUGAGAUCAGGAAGACCAUCAGCCUGUCUGAGGAGUAUAGGAAUGUCUUCAUCACAUAUUCAGUGGACACAGCAGAAGAGAUCAUUCCUUUUACCAAAUUUCUGACCGAUCAAGGGUUCAAACCAGCCGUAAGUCUUCCCUUUCCUCUCUCGAUGACUCUCCAUACAAACACUCUCACUAACACGCGUGUCCGCUGA
Long non-coding RNA from Gasterosteus aculeatus (three-spined stickleback), 1358 nucleotides. The record is from Ensembl. NCBI's taxonomy places the organism in Eukaryota, Metazoa, Chordata, Actinopteri, Perciformes, Gasterosteidae.